GGAUUAGAUACCCUAUUAUUGUAAUUUUUAAAUUAUUAAACUUAGGUAAUAUUAGUUAUGAUCUUGAAACUUAAAUAAUUUGGCGGUAUUUUAGUCUAUUUAGAGGAAUUUGUCCCGUUAUCGAUAAUCCGCGCUGAACCUAACUUUAAUUUUUUUUGAAUAUGUAUACCGCCGUUUGGAAAAUCUUUUUAGAAUUUAAUUUCUUUAUAUUUUAUUAAAUUAUAUUUCAGGUCAAGGUGCAGUUUAUAUUAAAAGUGGAGAUGAAUUACAAUAUAUAAAAUGUAAUAUGAAUUAUAAGUUGAAAUUAUUAUAUGAAGGUGGAUUUAAUAGUAAUAUUAUAAAGAUUAAUAGUAUGAUUAAUUUAGCUCUAAAAUAUGUACAUAUCGCCCGUCACUCUCGUUUUAAUAUGAGAUAAGUC
This 418-nucleotide ribosomal RNA is filed under the name Perisphaerus sp. 1 DJGI-2006. RNAcentral describes it as "partial 12S ribosomal RNA". Lineage: Eukaryota; Metazoa; Arthropoda; Insecta; Blattodea; Blaberidae. The record is from RNAcentral.